GUGCAUACUUUUGAAGCAGACCUUCUGAAUAAGGUGAACUGAGUGCUGCAAGAAUGACUGGUUCUCAGAAGGAGUGGUUAUCUGGUUAUUCUCAGCAUACCUCUUCUAUUACUUAACAGCGGCUUUUCUGACCCAUGUUAUCAUCUGAACAUCUCAAAAUUUGUGGAUUAUAGGCUAGAAUAGCAACAUGUACAAACAAAACUUCAGCCAAGUUUAACAUCACUAAUCUACUGCUCUUUCUUGACUUUCAGUAUCACUGAUUUCUUGCAUCUCUGUACUUUUCCGUAAGUCAACGGCUCCCCAAUUUUAGCACAUUAGCUGCAGUAGAAUUGGAUGCAGAAGCUUGCCGCUCAGUCAAUCAGGUGCCUCUCCCUGAACUGCAUAUAACAAACACAUGAGAUCUGCCCAGGUCAGUGUGCAGUAAGUUUCCACAGACACAGUGAAAAGCCUUGUGUCUUGAUACAGGCCACAAUUGCACUACUGUGAUUUAAUCUUUACGACCCUUUUAUAAAGGCACUUCGGAAGGACAGGCGGGAUAAGAAUUCUCCAUACAAUUAUGGGAUAUGAUGGUGAACUAUUAAUUCCUAAAUCAAUGUGUACAUGAGUGGGGAAGAAAUCGCUCUUCCCAAUCCAUUAAGCUAGCACAUAAGGGGAUGAAAGAUAGAGGGUGAAAUCUUGACCCCAUUGAAAUCAAUAGAAAAGUCCCCAUCGACUUCAAUGGAGCCAAAAUUUUACCCAGAGACGGAGUUAAAAAUAUUUUUUUUUCAAGUGAUAAGUGCUCAGCCACAUUAGAGAGAGUGGAAAAAUGUUAGGAUGAAAAUGGUAGAUCAAUGAAGGGAGCUUUGGUGGCGGUGUCCGCAAACCAGCGAUGAAGCUUAAUAUCUACAACCGCAUUUUUCUGCUUAUAAAUACUGAAUACAGCAUCUUCAAGAAACAAAAGAAGAUUUGGAAAGAGAAAAAAAGAAGUUUCCUGGCAAGUUUAGUCUGGGAAAUUUUAAACAUCUAUCGAUAGUAGAUGAGGAGACCACAUCUGUACGCAGUAUUCAAGAUGUGGGAGUACCAUCGAUUUAUAUAAGGGCAAUAAAAUAUUCUCAAUCCCCUUUUUAAUGAUCCCUAACAUCCUGUUUGCUUUUUUGACCGCCUCUGCACACUGCGUGGACAUCUUCAGAGAACUAUCCACGAUGACUCCAAGGAGGAAACAACUGGCACUGCUACUCUCUUGGCCAUGACAACAGGAUUCAAUGGGAAGCCUAAUCCUGUCCCCCUGGCUCAGAGGUCACGGUGGGGGUGCUCAUAGCAGGAUGAGAGUGCUCCUGUUGGAGAGCCGGUGAUGGGUCAUGUUAAAUAGAUAAGCUGUUCCAUGGGUAUGUGGGGAGGAAAAGAUGCUCUGUAAUGAAAGGCCUGUUUCAAUCUCAGGGACUCCUACAACCUUGGUCUGACAUCUUUAAUGACUAUUAUAGGCAUUGGCAGCAUCAGCAAGCAUAAGCCUUUAUCCGUGGCUGGUGACGAGGAAGAGAGCUGGAACUUGGGGAAGGCAAAACCAAUAACCUACUUUACCGGAGAUAUUGAGGCAGGGUAACUAAUGAUGUAGUUAAGAGUAGCUCUUCCUUCCCCCACCCCAACACUGUAUAUCUGGUUGCAAAGUCUAAAUAAUUAUAUAUAUAAAUCCUCACAGACCAAAAAAUACUCUUCAAUGUUUAUUAGAAAAAGAAAAAUGAAUAAACUAAUGUUUAUUACCUGUCAUCUGGAAAGGGAGAGGAAUAGUGAAGUAAUAGAAUUGGCAGAUGAUGCAAAGAUAUUUAGGUAACAGAGGGCUAGAAAGGGCUGUAAGAGGGACCUAAGCAAGCUGGGAAAUGGCAAAUGAAAUCCAGUGCUGGUACAUGCAAAGUAGUGCACAUUGAAAAGAAAAUAUUCACACCCCACACAUGGUUCUAAAUUAACUAACAGUUCAGGAAAGGGGCCUGGGUGUCUGCAAUGACAGAUCAAUGAAAACUUCUGCUCAAUGCUCAACAGCAGUCAGAACAAGUUACAAAAUGUUCGCAUGCCUAGGGAACGAAUGGAAUAGAGAAUAACAUGGAUAUUAUUACAA
Malaclemys terrapin pileata is the source of this 2089-nucleotide long non-coding RNA. RefSeq lists it as uncharacterized. The transcript is spliced from 3 exons. The record is from RefSeq and is a predicted model, not a curated record. Lineage: Eukaryota; Metazoa; Chordata; Testudines; Emydidae.